AUUGAACGCUGGCGGCAUGCCUUACACAUGCAAGUCGAACGGCAGCACGGGUGCUUGCACCUGGUGGCGAGUGGCGAACGGGUGAGUAAUACAUCGGAACAUGUCCUGUAGUGGGGGAUAGCCCGGCGAAAGCCGGAUUAAUACCGCAUACGAUCUACGGAUGAAAGCGGGGGACCUUCGGGCCUCGCGCUAUAGGGUUGGCCGAUGGCUGAUUAGCUAGUUGGUGGGGUAAAGGCCUACCAAGGCGACGAUCAGUAGCUGGUCUGAGAGGACGACCAGCCACACUGGGACUGAGACACGGCCCAGACUCCUACGGGAGGCAGCAGUGGGGAAUUUUGGACAAUGGGCGAAAGCCUGAUCCAGCAAUGCCGCGUGUGCGAAGAAGGCCUUCGGGUUGUAAAGCACUUUUGUCCGGAAAGAAAUCCUUGGCUCUAAUACAGUCGGGGGAUGACGGUACCGGAAGAAUAAGCACCGGCUAACUACAUG
Molecule: ribosomal RNA, 486 nt
Filed under: uncultured bacterium
Lineage: Bacteria
Description: partial 16S ribosomal RNA
Rfam family: Bacterial small subunit ribosomal RNA
Source: RNAcentral